RNAcentral lists this ribosomal RNA (1120 nucleotides) under Pantoea sp. GA21. RNAcentral's name for it is "bacterial SSU rRNA". It matches the Rfam family "Bacterial small subunit ribosomal RNA", at positions 57 to 1169 of the family's 1533-position model. The record is from RNAcentral. Lineage: Bacteria; Pseudomonadati; Pseudomonadota; Gammaproteobacteria; Enterobacterales; Erwiniaceae.
GCAGUCGACGGCAGCACAGAAGAGCUUGCUCUUUGGGUGGCGAGUGGCGGACGGGUGAGUAAUGUCUGGGAAACUGCCCGAUGGAGGGGGAUAACUACUGGAAACGGUAGCUAAUACCGCAUAACGUCGCAAGACCAAAGUGGGGGACCUUCGGGCCUCACACCAUCGGAUGUGCCCAGAUGGGAUUAGCUAGUAGGUGGGGUAAUGGCUCACCUAGGCGACGAUCCCUAGCUGGUCUGAGAGGAUGACCAGCCACACUGGAACUGAGACACGGUCCAGACUCCUACGGGAGGCAGCAGUGGGGAAUAUUGCACAAUGGGCGCAAGCCUGAUGCAGCCAUGCCGCGUGUAUGAAGAAGGCCUUCGGGUUGUAAAGUACUUUCAGCGGGGAGGAAGGCGGUGAGGUUAAUAACCUUGCCGAUUGACGUUACCCGCAGAAGAAGCACCGGCUAACUCCGUGCCAGCAGCCGCGGUAAUACGGAGGGUGCAAGCGUUAAUCGGAAUUACUGGGCGUAAAGCGCACGCAGGCGGUCUGUUAAGUCAGAUGUGAAAUCCCCGGGCUUAACCUGGGAACUGCAUUUGAAACUGGCAGGCUUGAGUCUCGUAGAGGGGGGUAGAAUUCCAGGUGUAGCGGUGAAAUGCGUAGAGAUCUGGAGGAAUACCGGUGGCGAAGGCGGCCCCCUGGACGAAGACUGACGCUCAGGUGCGAAAGCGUGGGGAGCAAACAGGAUUAGAUACCCUGGUAGUCCACGCCGUAAACGAUGUCGACUUGGAGGUUGUGCCCUUGAGGCGUGGCUUCCGGAGCUAACGCGUUAAGUCGACCGCCUGGGGAGUACGGCCGCAAGGUUAAAACUCAAAUGAAUUGACGGGGGCCCGCACAAGCGGUGGAGCAUGUGGUUUAAUUCGAUGCAACGCGAAGAACCUUACCUGGCCUUGACAUCCAGAGAACUUAGCAGAGAUGCUUUGGUGCCUUCGGGAACUCUGAGACAGGUGCUGCAUGGCUGUCGUCAGCUCGUGUUGUGAAAUGUUGGGUUAAGUCCCGCAACGAGCGCAACCCUUAUCCUUUGUUGCCAGCGAUUCGGCCGGGAACUCAAAGGAAACUGCCGGUGAUAAACCGGAAG